UACAGAGGUCUCAAGCGUUGUUCGGAUUCAUUGGGCGUAAAGGGUGCGUAGGUGGCGAGGUAAGUCGGAUGUGAAAUCUCCGAGCUCAACUCGGAAAUGGCAUUGGAAACUACCUUGCUUGAGGGUCGGAGGGGGGACUGGAAUACUUGGUGUAGCAGUGAAAUGCGUAGAUAUCAAGUGGAACACCAGUGGCGAAGGCGAGUCCCUGGACGACUCCUGACACUGAGGCACGAAAGCUAGGGGAGCAAACAGG
This 253-nucleotide ribosomal RNA is filed under the name uncultured bacterium. RNAcentral's name for it is "partial 16S ribosomal RNA". It matches the Rfam family "Bacterial small subunit ribosomal RNA", at positions 524 to 776 of the family's 1533-position model. The record is from RNAcentral.